AUGAACGCUGGCGGCGUGUUUUAGGCAUGCAAGUCAAACGGGUAGGUGUAGCAAUACAUCUACCAGUGGCAAACGGGUGCGUAACACAUUGGUAACCUGCCUCUGUCUCAGGGAUAAUUCCGCGAAAGCGGGACUAAUACCUGAUGGUCUUCCCCCGCGCAGGCGGGGUCAGUAAAGGCGCAAGCCGGACAGAGAGGGACCUAUGGUCCAUCAGCUAGUUGGUGAGGUAACGGCUCACCAAGGCAAUGACGGAUAGCGGGCGUGAGAGCGCGACCCGCCUCAGUGGAACUGCGACACUGUCCACACUCCUACGGGAGGCUGCAGUCAAGAAUCUUCCCCAAUGGACGAAAGUCUGAGGGAGCGACGCCGCGUGCAGGAAGAAACCCCUCGGGGCGUAAACUGCUUUUCUCUGGGAAUAACUCUGAAGGUACCAGAGGAAUAAGGGGCUGCUAACUUCGU
RNAcentral lists this ribosomal RNA (459 nucleotides) under uncultured bacterium. Its description in RNAcentral is "bacterial SSU rRNA". It matches the Rfam family "Bacterial small subunit ribosomal RNA", at positions 29 to 506 of the family's 1533-position model. The record is from RNAcentral.